AUUCGCUGUAACAAUGGAGUCAUCUUAAGUUCCUCUGUUUAUGUGAUGACCUGCACUGAGCUAAGAAGCAUAAACGAAUAGGACCAAGAAUCCCUUUGCGGUUACGAAGGCUAUUUGCCAGCCUAUUCUGUUGCUGCAUUUACGAAUAUGUUGCCUAGCCUGACCUUGUGAACAGGGUUGCUUAAGAGAUCAAUACUUCGGAGGGUUAUUGUCGUCACCAAGUAGAGCGCUGUUGGUGUGUUUCAAGGAGUGUUUUGAACUUUGAGAUGACUCAGUUAGUUAAGCAGAUCUCACACAAGAGGAGAGAUUAGUUACAUGUGGAAAACUUCCAAAGGACAGAGGAGAAAUCUCAUACUCUAUAGAUGAGAAAGAAAUCUGGGAAUAAUGUCUCAGUGUUUUGCCUGCAGAGAGGUAUGU
Molecule: long non-coding RNA, 417 nt
Filed under: Mus spicilegus (steppe mouse)
Lineage: Eukaryota; Metazoa; Chordata; Mammalia; Rodentia; Muridae
Description: lncRNA (ENSMSIG00000031803.1)
Source: RNAcentral